RNAcentral lists this ribosomal RNA (497 nucleotides) under uncultured bacterium. RNAcentral describes it as "partial 16S ribosomal RNA". It matches the Rfam family "Bacterial small subunit ribosomal RNA", at positions 28 to 507 of the family's 1533-position model. The record is from RNAcentral.
GAUGAACGCUGGCGGCGUGCCUAAUACAUGCAAGUCGAGCGAACAGACGAGGAGCUUGCUCCUCUGACGUUAGCGGCGGACGGGUGAGUAACACGUGGAUAACCUACCUAUAAGACUGGGAUAACUUCGGGAAACCGGAGCUAAUGCCGGAUAAUAUAUUGAACCGCAUGGUUCAAUAGUGAAAGACGGUUUUGCUGUCACUUAUAGAUGGAUCCGCGCCGCAUUAGCUAGUUGGUAAGGUAACGGCUUACCAAGGCAACGAUGCGUAGCCGACCUGAGAGGGUGAUCGGCCACACUGGAACUGAGCCACGGUCCAGACUCCUACGGGAGGCAGCAGUAGGGAAUCUUCCGCAAUGGGCGAAAGCCUGACGGAGCAACGCCGCGUGAGUGAUGAAGGUCUUCGGAUCGUAAAACUCUGUUAUUAGGGAAGAACAAAUGUGUAAGUAACUAUGCACGUCUUGACGGUACCUAAUCAGAAAGCCACGGCUAACUACGUG